This 213-nucleotide non-coding RNA is filed under the name Onchocerca ochengi. RNAcentral's name for it is "Eukaryotic large subunit ribosomal RNA". It matches the Rfam family "Eukaryotic large subunit ribosomal RNA", at positions 1 to 201 of the family's 3401-position model. Lineage: Eukaryota; Metazoa; Nematoda; Chromadorea; Rhabditida; Onchocercidae. The record is from Rfam by way of RNAcentral.
UGACCUCAACUCAGUCGUGAUUACCCGCUGAAUUUACGCUUAUAACUAAGCGGAAGAAAAGAAACUAACGAGAAUUUCAUUAGUAAAGGCGAGUGAAAAGGAAAAAGCCCAACGCUGAAUCCAAUAGACAUUUGGCGCUAACCGGAAAUGUCGCAUACAGGUACAACUAUUCGCAACAUGAAUCCAAACAUCCAAAGUCCCCUUGAGCGGGGC